UUGUCAGACACGUUUGAACCGGAGCAAUUCCACGUCGAAUAGCAGCGGGGUAGAAUGCGGCUGGGACCUACCGGGCGGCAUUCCCAGGUGGUCAGACGUCCGAAGUCACAAGAUGAGACAGCAGGGACACCAGACACUGGAUCAGGACCCACCCUCAUCCAGGACGACCUCAUCUUAAGUAACCUGAUGACAUCUGCAAAGACUCUGUUUCCAAAUAAGGUCACAUUCAGAGUUUCCCGCUGGAGGAGAGGACUGAGGGGGUCCUAUUCAACCCACUCCUAUGCUUAUGCUGAUGCCAAUUGAUGCUGCCUUGACUCCGCAAAUCCCAGGGAACGUUUACAGAAGGCACAGAGAAACCAUGCAUGGAGACACCCUAGGGCAGGUGAG
RNAcentral lists this long non-coding RNA (387 nucleotides) under Callithrix jacchus (white-tufted-ear marmoset). RNAcentral describes it as "lncRNA (ENSCJAG00000082935.1)". Lineage: Eukaryota; Metazoa; Chordata; Mammalia; Primates; Cebidae. The record is from RNAcentral.